Molecule: transfer RNA, 71 nt
Filed under: Lepidodinium chlorophorum
Lineage: Eukaryota; Dinophyceae; Gymnodiniales; Gymnodiniaceae
Description: tRNA-Gln
Rfam family: tRNA
About the family: Transfer RNA (tRNA) molecules are approximately 80 nucleotides in length.
Source: RNAcentral
UGGGAUGUAGCCAAGUGGAAAGGCAGUGGAUUUUGAUUCCAUUACCAAAGGUUCAAAUCCUUUCAUCCUAG